UAGAACCCUGACGGUGAUGGCUGGUCUAG
Molecule: non-coding RNA, 29 nt
Filed under: Rattus norvegicus (Norway rat)
Lineage: Eukaryota; Metazoa; Chordata; Mammalia; Rodentia; Muridae
Source: RNAcentral